Molecule: long non-coding RNA, 576 nt
Organism: Acipenser ruthenus (sterlet)
Lineage: Eukaryota; Metazoa; Chordata; Actinopteri; Acipenseriformes; Acipenseridae
Exons: 2
Source: RefSeq, a predicted model, not a curated record
ACCUCCACUCCUAAACAACAAGAUAAAAUGGCAUAAUGGAAAAAAACUGCUGUAUGGCGAUUCUGUGACUUAACAGAAAAUGAAUUACAAAACAUACUACAGAAGAAAGAAAAAACUCACGGAAAUGUAUAUUAAUUGAAGACGGAUCAUUUUGGAUACGUGGAAGGAUAGAGGUGAACUGGGGAAUGCAAUACUUCAUCUUUACAGAACUGACCCUUUCUCUUUAUAACUUGACCCCCUUUGUUGAUACUGUACUUGUACUACUGUAUUCAAAUUUACAGGGCUCACAGAGUCCUUGUGACAGCGCUCCAUCACAUGUACCUUCUAGUCCCUCUUUUGCAACUUUGCUGUUUCUGUACACAUAAAAUGUUAUCGGACAUGCACAGCACUGUAAAAUGGGUCAAAGCAGUGUAUUAUUUAAGAAAUCAAAGCCCUUUCUUUAUAACAUUAAUGUCCGGUAUACAGCAGAGUAUGAAUGAGUAAUUUUUUAAAUGCUAAUGUUAUCUCAAACAGCCAAAACCAGCAACUUUUGUUUUGUCAGUGUGGGUUUCAAAUAAAGAAAUGUGUGUCAGGCUA